AGUCGAGCGAGCUUGCCUAGAUGAUUUUAGUGCUUGCACUAAAUGAAACUAUAUACAAGCGAGCGGCGGACGGGUGAGUAACACGUGGGUAACCUGCCCAAGAGACUGGGAUAACACCUGGAAACAGAUGCUAAUACCGGAUAACAACACUAGACGCAUGUCUAGAGUUUGAAAGAUGGUUCUGCUAUCACUCUUGGAUGGACCUGCGGUGCAUUAGCUAGUUGAUAAGGUAACGGCUUACCAAGGCAAUGAUGCAUAGCCGAGUUGAGAGACUGAUCGGCCACAUUGGGACUGAGACACGGCCCAAACUCCUACGGGAGGCAGCAGUAGGGAAUCUUCCACAAUGGACGAAAGUCUGAUGGAGCAACGCCGCGUGAGUGAAGAAGGGUUUCGGCUCGUAAAGCUCUGUUGGUAGUGAAGAAAGAUAGAGGUAGUAACUGGCCUUUAUUUGACGGUAAUUACUUAGAAAGUCACGGCUAACUACGUGCCAGCAGCCGCGGUAAUACGUAGGUGGCAAGCGUUGUCCGGAUUUAUUGGGCGUAAAGCGAGUGCAGGCGGUUCAAUAAGUCUGAUGUGAAAGCCUUCGGCUCAACCGGAGAAUUGCAUCAGAAACUGUUGAACUUGAGUGCAGAAGAGGAGAGUGGAACUCCAUGUGUAGCGGUGGAAUGCGUAGAUAUAUGGAAGAACACCAGUGGCGAAGGCGGCUCUCUGGUCUGCAACUGACGCUGAGGCUCGAAAGCAUGGGUAGCGAACAGGAUUAGAUACCCUGGUAGUCCAUGCCGUAAACGAUGAGUGCUAAGUGUUGGGAGGUUUCCG
RNAcentral lists this ribosomal RNA (816 nucleotides) under uncultured bacterium. RNAcentral's name for it is "bacterial SSU rRNA". It matches the Rfam family "Bacterial small subunit ribosomal RNA", at positions 60 to 836 of the family's 1533-position model. The record is from RNAcentral.